GGUAGCGUGGCCGAGCGGUCUAAGGCGCUGGAUUUAGGCUCCAGUCUCUUUGGAGCCGUGGGUUCAAAUCCCACCGCUGCCA
RNAcentral lists this transfer RNA (82 nucleotides) under Pelobates cultripes (western spadefoot toad). RNAcentral describes it as "tRNA.Leu". It matches the Rfam family "tRNA". Rfam says of the family: Transfer RNA (tRNA) molecules are approximately 80 nucleotides in length. Their secondary structure includes four short double-helical elements and three loops (D, anti-codon, and T loops). The record is from RNAcentral. Lineage: Eukaryota; Metazoa; Chordata; Amphibia; Anura; Pelobatidae.